CCGCCCUCGGGACGGGGCGGGGGAGCGCGGCCGGGCGGGCCGAGGAGGACGGGCGGAGGGACCGUGACGCGCCGUCGGGGCGGGGCGGGGGCCGUACAAACGCGCUGGCGGCGGGCGCCGGGCGCCGCUUCCAGGCGGGUGAGGCGGGCGGCAGCUGGUGCUCGCUCCGCAGCCGCUGCUUCUACCACCGGGAGCGCUUCCCACGGCUGCGGUAUCCGCGGGCGCUCAUGGCACAGCACGGAGGGUGCUGCCCUACGGCUCCGCGCCCUGGCGAAAGGUUUCUGUUUGAGAAAUACGCAUCCACUCAGCAAAACAAAAACAACUUUUAAAGGUUGUUCUGGGUAGAAUUCGCUCCAUGCCCCAUUACCUGCUUGAGUGA
This 379-nucleotide long non-coding RNA is filed under the name Coturnix japonica (Japanese quail). RNAcentral's name for it is "lncRNA (ENSCJPG00005018433.1)". Lineage: Eukaryota; Metazoa; Chordata; Aves; Galliformes; Phasianidae. The record is from RNAcentral.